This 66-nucleotide transfer RNA is filed under the name Latona dysoni. RNAcentral's name for it is "tRNA-Lys". Lineage: Eukaryota; Metazoa; Arthropoda; Branchiopoda; Diplostraca; Sididae. The record is from RNAcentral.
GCUUUAAUAGCUAAUUUUAAGUUAUGGAUUCUUAAUCCAUGGAUACAUUUUAUAAUGUUUAAAGCA